This 367-nucleotide long non-coding RNA is filed under the name Ananas comosus (pineapple). Its description in RNAcentral is "long non-coding RNA (ACOM_LNC031930)". Lineage: Eukaryota; Viridiplantae; Streptophyta; Magnoliopsida; Poales; Bromeliaceae. The record is from RNAcentral.
ACUUUUUAACUGAAAAUAUGUAGUAGUUAAAUUUCGAACUUAGAACUUAUAUAAGAUCCCAAUCAUCAAGUACUUUAGCAACUGUUGCAAAAUACAUAAAACUUUCCAACAGCGUAUAAUGCCUAUUGUAGUGUAGAGCUACUAUGCUAUCGAAAGUACAGAUAAUUUGACGCUUUUGAUUUUUUAACCCUUGGAUCAAGAAUUGUACGAAUGGGAUGAUUACAGUGUUUCCCACAGGAUAAUAGUAUUAAUCCAAGAUUAGAAGUGAUUAAAAUGACUGAUUUAAAAGUUAAAAAGUCGGAAGCAGCAGAUUCUCUAUACUUUCGAUAGUGUAGUAGCUCUGCUCGCCUAUUGUACGCACGUAGUA